This is a long non-coding RNA of Myxocyprinus asiaticus (Chinese sucker), 9985 nucleotides long. RefSeq lists it as uncharacterized. The transcript is spliced from 2 exons. Lineage: Eukaryota; Metazoa; Chordata; Actinopteri; Cypriniformes; Catostomidae. The record is from RefSeq and is a predicted model, not a curated record.
GAAAAGAGCAAGAGAGGUACAUAGGAUUUAAUGUGCAUAGGAAUCAUGAAGAAUGCUCACAUACACUUGUACUUGGACUUUACGACAGGUACAAGUUCAUCAGUAACAUUAAAUGUAGGUCUUGACCAGUGUUGGGUGAGUUUCUUAAAAAAUCGUAUUCCACUCAUUUUAAUCAGAAUUGUAAUCUGAUUGCUUUACUAACUACUUCAUUGGAAAUGUAAUCACAUUACUAAUUACUGUACUGUUUAGUUACUAUAUAAAAUAUUUUCCGCUCAACGAAUUCAAAAUAAUUUCUAUAUUUCCUCCUUGUUCACACAAGUGAAACAUCACCUCAUACUUCUUCCUCACACUGGGCCUCAUUCAUGAAACACAAGCAGAAUUAUUUUGUAUAAAUCAUUCGUAAAGGUGUUCUGACGUAAAUUCUCUGAGGUUUACGUAUUUUCAAAAUGUUAGUUGGUACGAUCAAAAUUUACACUUGCUCCCGACCAUGUGUAAAUCGUGUCCAAGACAUCUGAACGUUCUGUGUUCUUUCAGGCAAACUACCUUGACUACAUUUUGUCUUCUAAUUCUUUUAAUUUCUCUAAAGAUUUUUCCAGUUGCAAGGGAAGUAUACCACUGUUACAUCACGAUUUACACGAGAAGUUUCACCAAUGAUGUUGGCAGUGUGCUCAACUGAACUGGAGAAUGUUAAUGGUGGUGGACAUCCUCUGGCCGGCAGGAACUGAACAUUAUUUACACUAAAGCUUCAUGUCAAACCAUUUUAAUUGAUCUCUUGGACUGUUUGAUGCACAAAAGAGCCUCCAAUGACAGCAAAAACAUGUGAUGACAGUAAGUUCCUCUCUUUCUUUGAGACACUCUUGUGUUUGCUGAAUCAAAAUUUUACGAUGUGAAUGCACUUCAUUCAUAAAAUUGAUUUAAUUACUGUUCCACUUAGAUGUGAAAAUCAUUUAUUAGUGAGUCAGGUGCCUUCCUUAUAUUGCGUUUUCAUAGGCGCGGAUUAUGAUAAUUGUGAAUGAACGUGCUAUUUACGAAUGUUUGGAAUUCACUAACAUACAUUUAACAAACAAAUUUGUGUACGCAGCAUUUGUGAAUCCGGAGGAACGUUUUCGGGAAGGUCCAUUUUAUGUGUAAAUUACUCCCAAUUUACUCGUAUAUUUACAAAGGUUUCAUGAAUGAGGAUCAUUACUCAUUAUAGGGACAUAAUUCAUGUUUUCAAUAUAUAAUACAUAAAUAAUCUUAUUUUAGACAUACAUGUAACCCUAGUAAUGUGCUUAAAAGUAAUUAAAUAAAUUGAAAAUCAGUUACUGUAAUUUCAUUACAAGAAUGUAAAAUGUAAUGCAUUGCACUUUGUUUUGUGCCAAAAAAGUAAUUAGAUUACAAUAACUAAUUACUCUGAAAUCUGAUUACACCCAACACUGGUCCUGACACGCUAAACACCCAUCAUGAAAUAUUAUGUAUAUCACACCAGGGGGUGCCCUAGACUCAUAAGAAAGAGGUUGUGCUCUGAGUUCAGUGCCUGCUGUGUCAAGCAGCACUUACAUGAACAAACAAGGCAACAGACUAAAAGUGUGGCUGAUUUAGCUGAUCUAGAUUUGUUAAGGGAGAUGAGUGUGUGGGAUUCAGAAUCCAAUACAACUGAAACUAUCUAUCUAUCUAUUCUUAUUUGUAAAAAGGAGGGGCUUCAAGGUAAAAAGGUUGGGAACCACUGACCUAGACAAGCCGACACAAAAAUCAGCUACAAUCCAAUGUGACUCUACAUAGAAAUGCUCUCAGCUGCAAGAUAUUACCCACUUACUAUUUCUUAAUAACAAAGUAAUAACUUAUAGUUUGUUCAAACUGAAGAAAAUGAAAGCAGGCAUCAACAUUUUCUCCAGGGUCAUUUAAACCACCAAAAUGAGGGCACAAUAGACUUUUUUUUUUUAAAUUAGUUAAUUUGGGUAGCCUCUAGAUAAGACUCCAGUAAAAACCUUAUAAAUUGACUUUUACAGUCUUUAGCAUUCACAGAUUUCCCAACAUUCAAAAGCAAAUAUACACCUAUCAGAUUAUUAUGAAAUCUAGGUCAUUGAUAGCUGAGGUAUACCCUGCUGAUGGGCAGAGGAGCUGGACUCCAUCAGGAAAGGGUCUGACAGAGGAAAGAAAAUUACGUGACUGUGGUGACAUUUUUGCAAAAUUAUUUUUACAAGGUUUCUUACAGAUGCUGCUGCAUUUCUAGGUUGAAAUGUCCACUGAGUGGCGCUUAAAUCAAUUAAAAUGUUCUCCAUAGCAAAAUAGGUUUUUAAGGUUAAUGCUCAAUCAGGUUUUUAAUCAACAAAACCUACAUCCCUACUCUAAACCUUAACUUAGUUCAGUCAUGUAAACUCUCUGAAAGAUUGAGCAAGUUAAUGUGGGUAUGACAUAUUGAUAGGAUAUUGGUCCUGGCAGACUAGAUCUGCUACGCUGCUGCAGCAGAGCAAGUACGGAGACUUGCUACUGCAAGAACAUACACGGACAAACUGAGUUAAGCAUAUGGACAUGCUGCUGCACAAUUAGACAUACAUACAAUCCCCCAACAACGCAGGGAAGCUGCACAACCAAGCAGAUCUAUCGGCAAGACUUGUGUACUGCUGCUGCUCCGAAGAGCCAUGUGCACCAAGUGUAUGUAGCUAGGUGUGCCAAAUGGCGUAAUGCUAAUGAACUAAAUUUUUAUGUGUGCCAGGUUGUGACCUGACUCAUAGUGUGUACCUGCACCUGGAAGGCCCAGAGCUUAUUUAACUAGUGACUUAGCCUAGAUGUGUGGAUUUAUUUAAACUAAUGACCAUUGCUAAGAUAGCAAUGUGUGAUAGACCAAAUUUGGCUAAGGCUUAACUUGCUUAAGAUGCACUUCUAUGAGUCAUGGCCAAAGCAGACAUUACCGUGCAAGCUGAUAGAAGAAAAGCCCCUGCAACCACCUAAGCAUUUUUGGAGAAAAACACUCACUGUACUCGGCAGUGAAACUGGCUUAUCUGUAAAACUGAGCUAUUUAAAUGUUAGACAAAAAGAGAGACACAAGUUGAUUGGCUUCCUGAUUACAUGUCAAAGGACCAAUCAGCAUACUCCAUGCGAGCUGAUUGGCUUAACAUGUCACAAGUCAAGUCAUUUUUAUUUGCAUAGUACUUUUCACAACACACAUCGUUUCAAAGCAGCUUUACAGGAAAUCAAGCAUUUAAAAAACAAAACAAAAAAAUAAAAAAUGAAACUGUAAUAUCUAUAAAGUCUUAGGAUGAUCAUUGUGUAGUUUGAUUAAAUAUGAUUGUAAAUUGUGUAUAAAAAUUAAAUAAUUAAAUAAUAAUUGUAUUUAGAACCCCUGUGAGCAAGCUAAGGCGACUGUGGCAAGGAACACAAAACUCCAUAAGAUGUUGGUUAAUGGAGAUAAAUAACCUUGGGAGAAACCAGGCUCACUGUGGGGGCCAGUUCCCCUCUGGCUAAACAACAUGAAUAUAAUGGCAAUAUUAGUUAUUUGUGUGCAGUGCAAGUCAUGGUUUAAAAUUUGUAAAUGAAGCGUUAAAGUCCAGUGUUUAAAUAAAAAAAGAUUUUUUAUGAACUUAAAGAUUAAUGACUAAUGUCUUUGAAGUUCAUCCUGGAUUAACUGCAGAAGUUCACAUAGAUGCAUUGUCCUUUGUUAGUUGGCUGAUGAAGGCUUUUGUUGGCAAUUAAAUGAUAGUCUGAGUAUUCCAUUUCAAGAGUGAAGUCCAUCAAUAGACAAAGGUGAUGCAGGCAGAGAUCAAUGAGGUGCAUCACAGUUCAACUGGCAGGUCAUUUCGGUGAGGUUCGGUGGGGUUCAUCCUAAAUCCAAGGUCCAGACAGUGGCAUAUGAAGUAUCCGAUGUCUUACAGUUGGAGUUGGCAUCGGUUCAUCCUCUGAAGUCAAAAGACUGAAGUGAUGUCUGGCUAGCACUGGCUGUAGUUUGUUGUCAUCACUCAGUGGCACGUAGCAGCUGGAUCUGGCCAGCUCUGGUAACCUCGGGAUAUGAAUCCAGAGAAACAAAUAGAAUAAUAUUAGUGCAGAUGCCAUUCAAUUUUAUGCAGAGUUUUAGAUCAUGAUAGAUGUUUCUGGUUCCAGCAGACUUAACUAAAGCAGUCUAACUGUGAGUUGAUGGAUAAUUAUGUGUAUGCCUGUCUAAAUAGAUGAGUCUUUAGUCUAGACUUAAACUGAGUGAGUGUGUCUGCAUCCUGAACAGUGUUAGGGAGACUAUUCCAUAGUUUAGGAGCCAAAUAUGAAAAGGAUUUACCUCUUUUUUUGUGGAUUUAUAUAUUAUUGGAAUUAUUAACAUGCCAGAAUUUUGUGAUCAUAAUGAACGUGAUGGAAUAUAGCAUGUCAGAAGGUCACUUAAAUUCUAUGGAGCUAGACCACUCAAAGACAACAGAGAUUUUUUUAUUUAUAUAUGACGGUGUCACUUUAAGCAUUAAUCUUCGACCCUUCAGAUGAGGCUCAUGUUUAUAACAAUAACCUGGGGGAGUAGAUUCAUUUAAACUAAUAUAUUCAUCCGGUUUAAGCCAGGUUUCAGUCAAACAGAGUGCAUCCAAACUAUGAUCUGUAAUAAUUUCAUUUACAAUUAGUGCUUUGGUAGAAAGAGAUCUAAUGUUUAGUAGCCCUAACUUUAUAUGAUAUUUACCUUCAAUUUGAUUUUUUUUUUGAAUGUUUUUUUUUUUUUUUUGAUUUUCUUUUUCAAGUUUGACCUUAAUCACAUUUUUUCUAAAUUAUUUAGUGAGGAGUUUGUGUUUGCUAGUUCGGGGAACAGUCACCAGUCUCUAUUUGAUAUCUAGGUGUUAAAGUUACAAAAUACCUAGGUUCUCUAUGUGUUGUUGUUUAUGUGACCUGUGUGACGUCUCAAGGCAGCAAGCAGCCGUUCAGAUUAACCAGUUUGUCUGCUUCCUGACCUGGGCCCCAGUUAGUCAAAUACUGUCACUAUUAAGACUACGAGCCAAAUUACUAGAGAGGAGAGCGGCACCUUCCCUGGAAGGAUGGAGUCCGUCUCUCUUUAGCAGGUCAAGUCUAACACAAAAACUCUUCCAAUUGUCUAUAAAUCCUAUGCUAUUCUCCGGACACCACUCAGACAUCCAGCCAUUCAGUGACACUAAUCUACUAUAAACCUCGUCACCAUGACGAGCAGGGAGGGGGCCAGAGCAUAUUACAGUGUCGUUUUGGCAAGUUCACACACCUCUUUAACAUUAUCUUUAGUGAUCUCCGACUGGCAAAGCCAGACAUCAUUAGUGCCGACAUGAAUAACAAUUUUAGAAAAUCUACAUUUAGCAUUAGCCAGCACUUGUAAAUUUGAUUUGAUGUCAGACACCCGAGCCCCCGAAAUGCAUUUAACAAUAGUGGCUGGAGUCUCUAUUUCCACGUUCCUUACAACAGAAUCACCAAAUAUUAAGGCUCUUUCAACAUCUUUCAGGCUCUUUCUCAGUGGAAAUAACAUGAGCGGAUGCCAUGACUUACUGCAAUUGUUUGUUGUUGUUGUUAUGGUUGUCCUUGAGUGGCGAGGGUUUGAGAUCGAGGUGGUUCGAUGUGGUUCCUAAUCAGCAGAUGUUUUAGAUUGAUGCAAUAAUCCUUGUAAAACACAGUGGAGAAAACGAAUGCAAUCGAGACACGAGAUGUAGACAAGCAGAAAAAAAACAAAAAAAAAACUGAGAGAAACGGGUGGGGCAUGGUAAAAUACACGCAGUUGAAACAGUAGAAAAGUGGAAAAACCCGAAGCACGUGGUAAAAUGGCAAAGGAUAAAACGAUGAACGUGAAUAAGCAAGAAUAAGCAAUGCUAAGCACGCUAGCAAGCUACAAACACAGACUCGUGCAGCAUGCCAGCAGCAACCGGAACAGGAAGUCAGCAAGUUUCACAGUGGUCAGUCAGUUGGCAUCAUACUGAUGCUUACAUGCAAGCGAGCCAUCUGGCUAACAGAUAACAAACUCAAAGAACCUAUCAGCUUGCGCCACAUAAUAGUUACAUGGCUGAACUGCAGUCAUUUAGAAACCGACAGUGUCAUAAAAAGCAAAUGGGACACGAAAAAUGCAAUUACUGGAGCAACCACGUCAUUUUGUGGUACUUCUAGGACACUUUUGGCUCAGGUGUCAACUUGCAUGGCUCUGCAGGACUCAUGCCCCGGCCCUUUCCAUCACAAAUGCAACGCUCUCUCAGUUCAGCUACUGCCUAAUUUAAUUUAGCUCGAACUAGCCUGUAAAUGUAUUUAAAAGUUCUGUAAGCGAUUUUAGCUGUUCUACUUCCAUGAGACUGAGCCAUUGGAUUAGCCACGCCCCCUCUUUCCAAAAUACCGCACUCCAAAGAUACUCCAAAUGAGUUUGAUUGAGACAGAAUUCAUGCAGAAAUGGUUGUUAAAAACAACAACAGCAAAAAAGCGCCCUCAACUGACAACUGUUAUGAACAACAUGGCUUAAAAAUAGCAGUAAGUCUCAAUAAUUCGCUGCAACUACAACACUAUGAGAACGUGCAAAAUUAUUGACAGGUUGAAAGCAUCAUACAUUUUUGUUUGCUGUUUACAGAGUCUAGAGCUGUCACAGAGACUGGUGUGAUAUCUUACAACACUUAUUUCAAUAAUAUAUCUCAGGGAGUAGGAACAUUUUUGCAUAACUUUCCAUGAACAAAAUCACUUACAGCACCUUUAAUUAUGUAAUGCAAACGUUACAGUGUAUCGCCUUACAAGUCAUGCGCUAUAAUAAAAGUGUUUUGAUGUCAGAUAGCAUUGUGUGAGGAACAGGGUGAAAGUGUUUAUGAACUGAUUCAUUGAAAAAAAGUCAUUGUUGUAGCACUUCUUGUGUUCAUUUCAGCAGAAUACUGCUGUGAUAUGUACAACAAGUCACGUAAAAAUCAUUUUACGAAAAAAUUAGGUUUGGUACAGUGAUUCUAUGAAACCAGGUUGCAAGUUCCUGAACACCAAAUAGUUCAUUGACGUGUAAAUAUGGGUGGCCAUAUGUUUUCAGGCUUUCUGAAGUUAGGAAAAAGAUUUUCAGAACAAGCCGUUUGUGCAGCUUAGUUUCAGUAAAUGCUCCAUUUGGAGUUUCCAUUUUUUUAGUCCAUUUUCAUAGAACAUCAAACUUUUUUUUUUAAAAAGACCAAGGAAAAUUUGAUUUCUCAUGACAAAACCCCUAUAAAGAUCUUAAAAGUGCAGAAAAGGUGAUUGUGCAGAUCAAACUGUGCCUGUGGACUGAAUCUUGUGAUGAACGUGAUGCCAUGCGAGGAGCGGACAUGUGAACGGCGAGCUCUGCGCACUUUGCUAGUUUUAAUACUAUUUAUGUCAUAAACCGGUGAGAUUCGAUACACCCUGAUUCUUAACUGUUCUAGGAAGAUGAUAUGUCAAAAAAUUCUAAAUCCUUGGGCUCUGGAGACAUUAAAAGACACUUGCGUGCUCAAGCUGAUUCCCCGCAGCGGCAGGCCGAAAGUCCCGGACUCAAUUCGGACGGUGAACUGAAAGAAAUCCGGCGUGAAAUGAUGAAUGUGUCAGUAAUGGUGACGAAGGUCGUUGCAGACUUGGAGGCUCUUGCUCCAUGGAGACAAAAUUCUCUGAGUUGGUUACAAGAUUGUCGGACAUCGAGAAACGGAUCGAUUAUCUGGAGUCAUCGGAGAGGAAGAAUUAGCUGCUAACCCGCUAGAGACCAAGGGAGAUUUGGAACGCUGUGACGAGGAGGAGGGUGGACUACGCACACCCGGCCACCAAUCAGGCUAAUCAGCCAAGGAGCGGGAUAAGUUCAGGAGAGAGAGAGCCAUACGCAGCUGCCGUGUGUGUGUUUGUGUGUUUAUGUUUGUGUCUUUUUGUUAAACAUUAUUUACAUCCGGUUCCCGCCCCCUACUUUCCACUGAACCUACAUUGGUGCCGAAGCCCGGGAAGGAGGAGGGAUGCACUGUCGUGGAGUCCUCACCACUGCCAUCCACCCAAAGGAGUAGCCACGGCCAUCCGCCGGGGGACGGAGGAGUUGCUGCCUACCGCCUGGAUGCGGAGGAACGGCCGGCGUCUACGAGGGGAGGAGGGGCUCGCUGCUGGCCGCUAGCGGCUGGAGCUUGUUUUGUGGAGGCACACACCUUCGAGACAGUUAAGUGGAUGAAUCUACAUGUUUUUUGUGUAUGUUUAUUCCGCCUAUUGGCUGGAGUUUGUUUUAUAUAUCAUCUUCUGUUGUGUAAUUCUGUUUUACAAAUUUUUGUAUAGAAACACCAGACUUGAGCAAUUUAACGGCAAAGUUGUCACGGGGGCUCUUGUAGGCAUACAUGGACUGUUUGAGUUAUGAGGGACAGAUGCCGGUUGGUGCUGUCGUGCGUGGGGUUAAUGCGCACGUUUUUCUUUUUUCUGUUUGUUUUGUUCUGGGGAAAGUUCGGGGGUUGAUUGUUGCACCAAUGUGGAAUGUGGUCUUUAUAAUUUUAUUUUUGACACACAAUCUAUUUUUACUCAUAUGUCAAAAUGCCAAAUGUUAAUAUGAGUGGAUUGUCUCUCUCCACGUGGAAUGUGAAUGGGUUGGGGCACCCCAUAAAAAGAAGGAAGGUUAUUUCUUUUCUUAAACUAAGGAAAUAUGACAUAGUGUUUCUUCAAGAAACGCAUCUUUCCCCGCAGGAAGCUGAAAAAUUUGGGAAGAUAUGGGGUGGACAUGUUUUCUUUAGUGCUGGCUCAAGUAAGAGCAGGGGAGUUGUUACAUUGAUAAGUAAACAUCUACAUUUCAAACGUCUUAAACAGAUUAAAGAUAAAUUAGGAAGAGUCAUAAUUGUUUUAGCAGAAAUUCAGGGGCAAAGGUUGAUUUUGGCUAAUAUUUACGCACCUAACGCUGAUGAUCAGGGCUUUUAUAUAGAUCUUGAAGGGAUGUUGCAAGCCACUGGCACCCCUCAUGAUAUAAUAUUGGGAGGAGUCUUUAAUCUAUUGAUGGAUUCAGUCCUUGAUCAUAGUGAAGCAAAAGAGUGUAAGCCGCCAAGAACAGGAUAAUCUAUACAUUGUAAUAAGGCCAGAAUUAUAUUUGAUCAUGGCAGAGGUUAAAUGCAGGCAGGCAGAAAGGUAAAGGAGACAAUUUGAAUCAGCUGGAGGAUUGAUUCACACGGUUCAUGCCAGCACAUCAUGGCUUGAGAUGAAAACUCUAAACCCAAGAGAGAGGAUAAUCUGAGGUGUGAUUAGGGAGAAACAGUCCUAGUCUGUUUCACAAGAGUCUUUCAAGUAUAAAAAAAAAAUAAAAAAUUUUUAUGGCCUAUAAACUUCUAAGAAGUAUCUCCAUGAUGCGAGUCAAUGUAUGAAUCAUAAAAACACAAAGCAAAAAAGAGCACAACCAUUUGUAUAGCAUAUUUCUGAGAAAGAAGCUUCAAAGUCCACAUUUGCACAGACAUGUACAAGUACAAAUUUUAAACAAAAAGGCUACUCAGAUAAAGACCCCUUUCUAAUCUUCAUUAUGACCUGUACAGGCAACAAGCAUUUGCCUUUUCAAGGGGAUGAAUCCUUAUCCUAGAUAUGUGGGACACAGGCUGAUGGUGACUGUCAGUAUCCCUGUUAAGCAGUUACCUUAAACUGGCACAGUUUUAUCAGCAGGCAAGUGUAAAGCUGCCUUUGCCCUGUAAUAAAACUUCGACAUAGGGGAGUCAAGAAUAAAUCAUAAAAACAGAGUAAAAUCUUCUGUGACUAGCUGGUACUGGACAGAAAGUAUCAGUGAAAAGGACUGCACUUAACACUGAGACUGAUACGUGUUAACCUGUGUGCAACUGUGAAUGAAGGAAAAUAAGUGGGGAUGCUUGUCUCCUUUAAUCUCCCUCCAAAACGGCAAUGGCCCUGUGACAGAAUAAAAGGAUUAAAAUAGUAGUCAUGUAACCUCAUGCCAUCUCUGACCACCAGUGGACCAUCUGUUGUUCAAUCCACAGGCCUCUGGGCCUGGACUUACAUAGAGAACUUGUAACUUGGCCUGGGAAAAUAAAUGAAGAUCUAAUGCCACUACUCCUUUGCAAUAGAAUAUAUAUAUAUAUAUAUAUAUAUAUAUAUAUAUAUAUAUAUAUAUAUA